RNAcentral lists this ribosomal RNA (498 nucleotides) under uncultured bacterium. RNAcentral describes it as "partial 16S ribosomal RNA". It matches the Rfam family "Bacterial small subunit ribosomal RNA", at positions 28 to 507 of the family's 1533-position model. The record is from RNAcentral.
GACGAACGCUGGCGGCGUGCUUAACACAUGCCAGUCGAACGGUAAAGCGCCUUCCUCUUUGUAGGGUGUGGUUGAGUGGCGAACGGGUGAGUAACACGUGAGUAACCUGCCCCCUUCUUCUCCAUAACCGCAUGAAAGUGUGGCUAAUACGGGAUAUUCUGUGUCUGUCGCAUGAUGGGUCUGGGGCAGAUAUUGUGUCGGUGGUGGAUGGGCUCGCGGCCUGUCCGCUAGUUGGUUGGGGGAGUGCUUGCCAAGGCGGGGGGGGGUAGCUGGCCGGAGAGGACGGGCGGCCGGUCUGGAUGGGAAUGAGGCACCGGCCAGACUCCGGCGGGAGGCAGCAGUGAGGAUGAUUGAACAAUGGGAGCCAGCCUGAUGCAGCGACGCCGCGUGAGGGAUGGAGGCGUGCGGGUUGUGAACCUCUUUCGCCAGUGAAGCAGGCCUGCCUCGUUUGUGGGUGGGUUGACGGUAGCUGGAUAAGAAGCGCCGGCUAACUACGUG